UUGUUUUUGGCCACACAUAGAUUAAGAUUGAAACAGUACAGAGAAGCUUAGCAUGGCCCCUGCACAAGUAUGACGAAAAAAUGAGUUGGGCAUGAUCAUUUGUA
Mastomys coucha (southern multimammate mouse) is the source of this 104-nucleotide small nuclear RNA. The record is from RefSeq and is a predicted model, not a curated record. Lineage: Eukaryota; Metazoa; Chordata; Mammalia; Rodentia; Muridae.